Molecule: long non-coding RNA, 289 nt
Filed under: Chinchilla lanigera (long-tailed chinchilla)
Lineage: Eukaryota; Metazoa; Chordata; Mammalia; Rodentia; Chinchillidae
Description: lncRNA (ENSCLAG00000024050.1)
Source: RNAcentral
GUGACUUAUACAGAAGAGUAGUAUAGUUAACUCACUAUGCUGGAGACAAGAAAGUCUGAAGUCACAGUUGCAGCAUCUGGCAAGGGCUUCCACAUGCCUGGUGGGAGCAUAGUAGAAAAGAAGAGGGGAAGGUGGAUGUCCAAGAUGUGCUGCUAACUGUGACGAGGGUCCCAAAGAGGAGCAGGAUCAGGAAGAAAAAAGGCUGCCUGGCUCCUGGGUUGUGUCUCAAGUUAAUAAUGUCUCUACCUUGGACUGAAAUUGGGCUGUUGCUGCCUGUCGUGUGAAUUAG